GCGGUGGCGCGGGGCGGGGGCAGAGGGCGGGGUUGUGGCGUAGCGGCGUCCCGCGGUUCCGAAGGUUUGUGGGCGUGAUAUGUUGGGCGUGGGACAGGUGACGGCAAAGGUCGCAAGGCUGGAAUGAAGCCGCCGUCCGCUGCAAGCAAGCCUUGAGCGGUCACGAAGGCUCCCCGUUGCUCAAUGCAAACAGCUCGGUGCUGGGUGCUUGGGCAAUGCCUGCAAUUCAGCGCCCAGAAAGUCUGGAAGAUUAGCCGAGCCGAUCCUCGGUGUCAUUUGCGGCGUAACAGGUGCAGAAUCGAAACCGGCCUUCAGGCUGUGAGCUUAAGGGUAACACAAACCAGCACAAACAGCAGAGCCACCUGUAAGGCACCGCAGCUGUCAGAAAAACGCGACGCAAAACCAACGUGCUGAAAAUUGAAUCCCCUGCAUGUAUAUAUAUAUGAGUGUUCAGUUGUAGUGCUCAGAUAACCAUUCACUUUCCCUUCCAUGCUGUGCUUGCUGCACACACAGUGCUGGAGAAGUAUCCUCCUCUCAGAGUAGAUCAAGAUAGAUUGGAAGUGAUUGCCAAACGAGCCGUACUUCUGAAGGUGUUGGCACAGGUGAGAACAGCUGUGAGAUGGAGGAACAGAAGCUGGCAUCCUCUGUUCUCUUCAACAACUAUACUAAGUCUGUUUUGUUGAUUGUGGGCAUGAAGGAGCACACAGGCUGUAGGUUCAGCAGAUAUGGUCUGCAUAUUCAAAGUGUAAGCAACCAAAAAGAUGAGGGUUUAGGCACUAUUCCCUUACUUGGGCAUCCAUACUAAUAUCCUUUCUACUAAGUUUCAAAAGGUCCCUGGCUGGCUGUGAUUGCAGUUACUGGCUCAUAUAUUAUACUGUAAGGAUGCACCAUUGGAUAGCAAUGCUGGUAAAUAAGCACUUUGCUUAUUGGAGGACACAGAGGAAGAUCAACAGAUUUUCUAUUUGGGUUACAAAUCCUAUGCCGAAAUAGUGUUAUCUAUUCAGAUCUUGUAUGUGUAUUGGAAUUGUGUGAUAUUUGUUAAGCACCUAAAUAACAUAGUUCUGCAUUACAACAUAGUCUAAUUCUGAGUCAGUUUCACUCACGUGUACAUCAUAGCACAGAAGAUGGAGUGACUUAAAAUAUUUAUAGUAUUGUGCUGUAACAUAUCUUAAUGCAAUCCCUGCAUUUACAUUUCAUUUAGCUGUUAUCCUGCCCUUAGGGAAAUCUCUUUUGCCUAAGAAUGCACAUCCUCUGUAACAAAAAGGAUCAUAAAAACAACAACAACAAAAAAGAACAGUAGCAAUAUUCAUAGAAGGAAGAAAUACUUCAAAAUUCACCAUUUUAUGAUGGGGAACUUCAGAAGAUGAAUGGCAGUUUUCCAGUGGCCUGGGAAAAGCAAACCAAAAUAAACUCCAGGGAAAUAAAUGAUUCUGAUAGAGUCAUGGUUAAAAAUGAGGAGAGCUUUGCCCCAAAUUGAAGUUCAGCAGAAACUCAAAGCCCCAUGACUUGAAAGCAAAUCAAAAGUGGAAGAAUGGUCUUUUGAUCAAGGCACUGACCUGAGAGCAAGUACAGGUUCAUGUCUUUGCUCUGCUGCAGACUUCCUGUCUUUGUAUCUGCUGUCUCUGUGCUGCUGUGCUUUCUUUUUUUUAUGUAGUGAGACUGAUAACAUCUAAAUUGCACGCUGCCUCAGAUGGGGCUAUCUUUGACUCUGCUGAGAAGUGAAUAGUUCAGUGAGGGCUCACUGGUAUGGUAUCAUGGUGCCAUGGCAAUGCUGAACACAUUGGCAGAAACACUUCUCAGUCAAAAUGUUUCUGAUUUUGACAUGUUUUUUUUUUUGCAAUGAUGUGUCACAGUUUCACUUCACAAUGCAACUUCUCAGCAAGUUUCUAAACCGAAGAUUUUUGCAUUGGAAAGAUCUAAGUGAAGUGAGUUAAAAUGGUUCAUGAAAAUGUAUCGACCUCCUCAUAUUCUAAGGUGUGUUGUGAAAACAGUUCGCUGUGGGUGGGACAGAAAGAUUUCCUUCAAAUUUACCAGUCUCUUUUGCACCCUUGCAAAGAAAUGUGAGCCUUAGUAAAUCUAAAUAUUUUAGAAUAUGUUGCUUCAUGAACAACGGAGGGAUUUUUGACAUUUUGCUUUGACAUGUGGUUAAAAAAACUGUAUAAAGUCUAUGAAUUUCUUCUCCAACAUAUGUUCCAUGUUUUAAGCAGCAUUACUGCACAAUGUCCACCGAGAUCACCAUUUUAAUAAAAAUGUCUUCCAAGCUUUAAUUCCACUGUUAUUAAUUCAAAAAACCUCUCAGAAGUUCAGUGUUCAUAAAAGAAAAAUCUUCUUGUGCUCACCGAUAUAGAAAUGUAAUCCUUCUAAUACUGCAGCACUGAAUAACGAGGAGCCAAAAACUGCAGAUCUAAUUACUGGGCAUCACUG
Gallus gallus (chicken) is the source of this 2424-nucleotide long non-coding RNA. Lineage: Eukaryota; Metazoa; Chordata; Aves; Galliformes; Phasianidae. The record is from Ensembl.